Molecule: ribosomal RNA, 445 nt
Filed under: uncultured bacterium
Lineage: Bacteria
Description: bacterial SSU rRNA
Rfam family: Bacterial small subunit ribosomal RNA
Source: RNAcentral
UCCGGACUCCUACGGGAGGCAGCAGUGGGGAAUAUUGCACAAUGGGGGAAACCCUGAUGCAGCGACGCCGCGUGAGUGAAGAAGUAAUUCGUUAUGUAAAGCUCUCUCAGCAGGGAAGAAAAUGACGGUACCUGAGUAAGAAGCCCCGGCUAACUACGUGCCAGCAGCCGCGGUAAUACGUAGGGGGCAAGCGUUAUCCGGAUUUACUGGGUGUAAAGGGAGCGUAGACGGUUAUGCAAGUCUGAAGUGAAAGCCCAAGGCUCAACCAUGGGACUGCUUUGGAAACUGUAAAACUGGAGUGCAGGAGAGGUAAGCGGAAUUCCUAGUGUAGCGGUGAAAUGCGUAGAUAUUAGGAGGAACACCAGUGGCGAAGGCGGAUUGCUGGACAGUAACUGACGCUGAGGCGCGAAAGCGUGGGGAGCAAACAGGAUUAGAUACCCGUGUA